Long non-coding RNA from Erpetoichthys calabaricus (reedfish), 961 nucleotides. RefSeq lists it as uncharacterized. Lineage: Eukaryota; Metazoa; Chordata; Cladistia; Polypteriformes; Polypteridae. The transcript is spliced from 3 exons. The record is from RefSeq and is a predicted model, not a curated record.
GGUGCUGCAUUAUGCUAAUUUGCAUGAUUAGCAUUAAAGGGGGAGGGCUUAAUAGAUCAACAGGAUGUGGAAUGAUCUUGCGGUGUUGCAUUAUGCUAAUUUACAUGAUUAGCAUUAAAGGGGGAGGGAUUAAUAGAUCAACAGGGUGUGGAAUGAUUUUGCAGUGUUGCAUUAUGCUAAUUUACAUGAUUAGCAUUAAAGGGGGAGGGAUUAAGAGAUAAACAGGAUGUGGAAUGAUCUUGGGGUGCUGCAUUAUGCUAAUUUACAUGAUUAGCAUUAAAGAGGGAGGGAUUAAGAGAUAAACAGGGUGUGGAAGGGAUGCUAAUUUACAUGAUUAGCAUUAAAGGGGGAGGGAUUAAGAGAUAAACAGGGUGUGAAAGGGUCUUGGGGUGCUGCAUUAUGCUAAUUUGCAUGAUUAGCAUUAAAGGGGGAGGGAUUAAGAGAUAAACAGGGUGUGGAAGGAUCUUGGGGUGUUGCAUUAUACUGAUUUACUUCAUUUUUAUUUGUAGAGGGAUUAAGUGCUAAAUUGGAAAAAUAUUGGAGUUUGAGGGGAAGGGAUUAGGUGAUUUAAAGGGAUAGGGAAAUAAUUUGGGGUGUUACUUUGUGCUAAUUUUCUUAAUUAGCAUUCAAGAGGGAGAGAUUAAGUAUUAAAAGAAAUGGUGAAGAAGUGUUAUGCUACUCUAAUGUACGUCAUUGUAAUUAAAGUGGGAGGGAUUAAGUGCUAAAAAGGGCAUGGAAAGAUCUUAGGGUGCUACAUUAUGCUAAUUUACUUGUCAUUCAGGGGGGGAUUAAGUGAUAAAACAGAUCUGGAGGAAACUGGGGGUUGUUAUAUCAGUCUGACUUACAUGAUUAGCGUUAACGAGUAGGGAUUAAGAGAUGAAAGGGGUGCAGAAAGAAUUUGGGGUCUGACAUUAUGAUAAUUUGCCAUUCAAGGGGAUUAAGUGUUAAUUGGAUGGACGGG